UCAUUGUUGGAAUAAAUGCCCUCACGGGUACUAUCCAAAAACCCUUUGUGAAUACUACUUAAUCGUUGCCUCGGCAUAGUUGGCUUCCUACGGAAGCCCCUUUUCCCUCUGGAAAAAGGAGCAGGCUUGCCGGUGGCCCUAUAAAUUCUUGUUUUUGUAAUAUCAUCUGAGUAAACAAACAAAAUAAAUCAAAACUUUCAACAACGGAUCUCUUGGUUCUGGCAUCGAUGAAGAACGCAGCGAAAUGCGAUAAGUAAUGUGAAUUGCAGAAUUCAGUGAAUCAUCGAAUCUUUGAACGCACAUUGCGCCCGGUGGUAUUCCACCGGGCAUGCCUGUUCGAGCGUCAUUUCAACCCUCAAAGCUUGCUUUGGUGUUGGAGGAAUACCUGUAAAAGGGUACCCUCUGAAAUUUAGUGGCGGGCUCGCUAGAAUUUUGAGCGUAGUAAUUUUACCUCGUUUUUAAAGACUAGUGGGUUUCCAGCCGUAAAACCCCCCAACUUUCUGA
Molecule: ribosomal RNA, 504 nt
Filed under: Ditopella ditopa
Lineage: Eukaryota; Fungi; Ascomycota; Sordariomycetes; Diaporthales; Gnomoniaceae
Description: eukaryotic LSU rRNA
Rfam family: 5.8S ribosomal RNA (bases 193-346)
Source: RNAcentral